This 253-nucleotide ribosomal RNA is filed under the name uncultured bacterium. RNAcentral describes it as "partial 16S ribosomal RNA". It matches the Rfam family "Bacterial small subunit ribosomal RNA", at positions 524 to 776 of the family's 1533-position model. The record is from RNAcentral.
UACGUAGGGGGCAAGCGUUGUCCGGAAUUAUUGGGCGUAAAGAGCUCGUAGGCGGUUUGUCGCGUCUGCUGUGAAAUCCCGAGGCUCAACCUCGGGCCUGCAGUGGGUACGGGCAGACUUGAGUGGUGUAGGGGAGACUGGAAUUCCUGGUGUAGCGGUGAAAUGCGCAGAUAUCAGGAGGAACACCGGUGGCGAAGGCGGGUCUCUGGGCCGAUACUGACGCUGAGGAGCGAAAGCGUGGGGAGCAAACGGG